This is an RNA transcript of Vicia villosa (hairy vetch), 782 nucleotides long. It is a transcript of the gene named outer envelope pore protein 16-2, chloroplastic-like, with no coding region annotated. NCBI's taxonomy places the organism in Eukaryota, Viridiplantae, Streptophyta, Magnoliopsida, Fabales, Fabaceae. The transcript is spliced from 7 exons. The record is from RefSeq and is a predicted model, not a curated record.
UUGCACUAUCUUAAGAAGUUCUUUAAAAACACAAAUCGAAUCGCAUUUCUCCCAGAGAAUCAAAUCAAAGAAGAAAAUGAACUUGAACACAAGCAGUGAGGUUGAAACUCAUACCAAGCUUGACGAACUCUGUAACUUCGACAAAAAAUGCCUCUUUGAUCUCGGCCAUCCUCUCGUUAACCGCAUCGCCGAAAGCUUCGUCAAAGCUGCCGGAAUCGGAGUCGUUCAAGCCGUUUCUCGCAAUGCUUAUUUCUCAGCCAUUGACGGUACCAGAACCGAUAACAAUGGCGUUAAAGCUUCUUCGGAUGGAUCAGCCGCUGGAAAACGCCGUUUGCUGGGACUUAGAGGAGAGACCAGUAACAAAUCUCUUGAGGCUAUGGUGAUUAAUGCUGGGAAAGAGUCCUUACAAUGGGGAGUGGCUGCAGGAUUAUAUUCAGGUCUAACAUAUGGGUUGAAGGAGGCUCGCGGAGCUCAUGACUGGUCCUUUUUGUGGAUCCUUAUAAAUGAACACUUCAUGCAUCAAUGCAUGAUUUUAAUGGAUGUGGCAGAACAAUUUCGCUCGGGUAUAUGUUACUUCUGUCCAUUUUAAUGUGCUGCUGUUUCGAUCUUGUCAAUUACAUGGUCCCUUCUUGUGCAGCUGUUUCGAAUUAGGAUUGCUCGGGAAAAUCUUGGUCGCAUUCGUAAGACUCUCGCUGACUUCACCAGCUUGAAUCACUGAGUAGUUAACAUACUACUUCUGUCGGGUGGACUCCAUCAAUGCUUUCGAGCCUGAUGGUUACAAA